RNAcentral lists this ribosomal RNA (879 nucleotides) under Kluyvera ascorbata. Its description in RNAcentral is "partial 23S ribosomal RNA". It matches the Rfam family "Bacterial large subunit ribosomal RNA", at positions 1920 to 2798 of the family's 2925-position model. The record is from RNAcentral. Lineage: Bacteria; Pseudomonadati; Pseudomonadota; Gammaproteobacteria; Enterobacterales; Enterobacteriaceae.
CCGGUAAACGGCGGCCGUAACUAUAACGGUCCUAAGGUAGCGAAAUUCCUUGUCGGGUAAGUUCCGACCUGCACGAAUGGCGUAAUGAUGGCCAGGCUGUCUCCACCCGAGACUCAGUGAAAUUGAACUCGCUGUGAAGAUGCAGUGUACCCGCGGCAAGACGGAAAGACCCCGUGAACCUUUACUAUAGCUUGACACUGAACACUGGUCCUUGAUGUGUAGGAUAGGUGGGAGGCUUUGAAGCGCGGACGCCAGUUCGUGUGGAGCCAUCCUUGAAAUACCACCCUUUAAUGGCUGGUGUUCUAACGUAGACCCGUAAUCCGGGUUGCGGACAGUGUCUGGUGGGUAGUUUGACUGGGGCGGUCUCCUCCUAAAGAGUAACGGAGGAGCACGAAGGUUAGCUAAUCCUGGUCGGACAUCAGGAGGUUAGUGCAAAGGCAUAAGCUAGCUUGACUGCGAGAGUGACGGCUCGAGCAGGUGCGAAAGCAGGUCUUAGUGAUCCGGUGGUUCUGAAUGGAAGGGCCAUCGCUCAACGGAUAAAAGGUACUCCGGGGAUAACAGGCUGAUACCGCCCAAGAGUUCAUAUCGACGGCGGUGUUUGGCACCUCGAUGUCGGCUCAUCACAUCCUGGGGCUGAAGUAGGUCCCAAGGGUAUGGCUGUUCGCCAUUUAAAGUGGUACGCGAGCUGGGUUUAGAACGUCGUGAGACAGUUCGGUCCCUAUCUGCCGUGGGCGCUGGAGAAUUGAGGGGGGCUGCUCCUAGUACGAGAGGACCGGAGUGGACGCAUCACUGGUGUUCGGGUUGUCAUGCCAAUGGCAUUGCCCGGUAGCUAAAUGCGGAAAAGAUAAGUGCUGAAAGCAUCUAAGCACGAAACUUGCC